Molecule: ribosomal RNA, 420 nt
Filed under: Triticum aestivum (bread wheat)
Lineage: Eukaryota; Viridiplantae; Streptophyta; Magnoliopsida; Poales; Poaceae
Description: partial small subunit ribosomal RNA
Source: RNAcentral
AUGAGGGGAUUAUUAUGCCUCCAACUUGUGCUUACCAUGGGUGAGUCAGGAUUCAGGAGGCCUAAUCUACUUAUCCUGCGAAGUCAAGUGAAUGAAUCGCGGGAGAUGCUACUGCUGCUGGUUGGAACGCUGAUGAUCGUGUGUGUGCUUGUUGCCGCUGCUUGCAUGUGGAUGAGUAGUAUAGUGCACAGCUGCAUGAGCUUGGGACAUAUGUGCUUUGAUACAUUGCUUUUUUUCGCUAUGGGCUUUAAUAUUCUACUCCAUUUCCGAGGGAUAAAAAUGUUUGAGGCUACUAUAGUAUAUGUGAAAUAUACAAUUAUUCAUUACUUGUUUUCUUACCAUCUAAUGUGUUUGGCAUUUCUUCUUUCGGAUUUACAUCUCCUCUUUGUGCAGGAGGUACAAGGUCUCACCACAUGUUGA